This 204-nucleotide long non-coding RNA is filed under the name Elaeis guineensis (African oil palm). Its description in RNAcentral is "long non-coding RNA (EGUI_LNC001279)". The record is from RNAcentral. Lineage: Eukaryota; Viridiplantae; Streptophyta; Magnoliopsida; Arecales; Arecaceae.
AUCUUUCCAUGACUAUGACUUUCACACUACUCAGCCUCUCUCUCAACGUAUUUUAGAUGAACCGAUUUUAUCUCGAUUCAAGAUGUCACAGAUGGAGCCAUAUGACGGCUCCAUCGAUCUAAUUGAUCACUUGGAGAGCUAUAAGGCUCUCAUGAUGAUUCAAAAGGCAACCGACGUCCUUUUAUACAUUGGCUUUUCGGCAAC